RNAcentral lists this small nucleolar RNA (106 nucleotides) under Microcebus murinus (gray mouse lemur). RNAcentral's name for it is "Small nucleolar RNA SNORA11 (ENSMICG00000033059.2)". It matches the Rfam family "Small nucleolar RNA SNORA11", at positions 19 to 129 of the family's 129-position model. Rfam says of the family: U107 (SNORA11) is a member of the H/ACA class of snoRNAs that guide the sites of modification of uridines to pseudouridines. This snoRNA was identified by RT-PCR from blood cells and its expression confirmed by Northern blot analysis. The record is from Rfam by way of RNAcentral. Lineage: Eukaryota; Metazoa; Chordata; Mammalia; Primates; Cheirogaleidae.
UGGGGAUUAAAUUCCACUAUAAUUUAUAACACACCCAACAGGAAUCUAGGAUCAUUGUGAUAAGGGGCACAAAACUUGUGGCCUCCCUAACAAACGCCCUACUUCU